This 440-nucleotide ribosomal RNA is filed under the name uncultured bacterium. RNAcentral describes it as "partial 16S ribosomal RNA". It matches the Rfam family "Bacterial small subunit ribosomal RNA", at positions 338 to 795 of the family's 1533-position model. The record is from RNAcentral.
CCUACGGGGGGCAGCAGUGGGGGAUAUUGCACAAUGGGGGAAACCCUGAUGCAGCGACGCCGCGUGUGGGAAGACGGUCCUCUGGAUUGUAAACCACUGUCCCCAGGGACGAAGAUGACGGUACCUGGGGAGGAAGCUCCGGCUAACUACGGGCCAGCAGCCGCGGUAAUACGUAGGGAGCGAGCGUUGUCCGGAAUUACUGGGUGAAAAGGGAGCGUAGGCGGGACUGCAAGUAGGGUGUCAAAUCUACCGGCUCAACCGGUAGCCGCACUCAAAACUGCAGUUCUUGAGUGAAGUAGAGGCAGGCGGAAUUCCUAGUGUAGCGGUGAAAUGCGUAGAUAUUAGGAGGAACACCAGUGGCGAAGGCGGCCUGCUGGGCUUUUACUGACGCUGAGGCUCGAAAGUGUGGGGAGCAAACAGGAUUAGAUACCCCGGUAGUC